Molecule: ribosomal RNA, 501 nt
Filed under: uncultured bacterium
Lineage: Bacteria
Description: bacterial SSU rRNA
Rfam family: Bacterial small subunit ribosomal RNA
Source: RNAcentral
GAUGAACGCUAGCUACAGGCUUAACACAUGCAAGUCGAGGGGCAGCGGGAUUGAAGCUUGCUUCAAUUGCCGGCGACCGGCGCACGGGUGAGUAACGCGUAUCCAACCUUCCGUACACUCAGGGAUAGCCUUUCGAAAGAAAGAUUAAUACCUGAUGGUAUGAUGAGAUCGCAUGGUAUCAUCAUUAAAGAUUUAUCGGUGUACGAUGGGGAUGCGUUCCAUUAGGUAGUAGGCGGGGUAACGGCCCACCUAGCCUACGAUGGAUAGGGGUUCUGAGAGGAAGGUCCCCCACAUUGGAACUGAGACACGGUCCAAACUCCUACGGGAGGCAGCAGUGAGGAAUAUUGGUCAAUGGACGAGAGUCUGAACCAGCCAAGUAGCGUGAAGGAUGAAGGUCCUACGGAUUGUAAACUUCUUUAUAAGGGAUAAAACCUCCCACGUGUGGGGGCUUGUAUGUACCUUAUGAAUAAGCAUCGGCUAACUCCGUGCCAGCAGCCGCGG